RNAcentral lists this ribosomal RNA (1685 nucleotides) under 'Pedalium murex' phyllody phytoplasma. RNAcentral describes it as "bacterial SSU rRNA". The stretch from base 1 to 1476 matches the Rfam family "Bacterial small subunit ribosomal RNA". Lineage: Bacteria; Bacillati; Mycoplasmatota; Mollicutes; Acholeplasmatales; Acholeplasmataceae. The record is from RNAcentral.
AUGCAGUCGAACGGAAACCUUCGGGUUUUAGUGGCGAACGGGUGAGUAACACGUAAGCAACCUACCCUAAAGACGAGGAUAACCAUUGGAAACAGUGGCUAAGACUGGAUAGGAAGAUAAAAGGCAUCUUGUAUCUUUUAAAAGACCUAGUUAAUAGGUAUGCUUUAGGAGGGGCUUGCGCCAUAUUAGUUAGUUGGUAGGGUAAUGGCCUACCAAGACGAUGAUGUGUAGCUGGACUGAGAGGUUGAACAGCCACAUUGGGACUGAGACACGGCCCAAACUCCUACGGGAGGCAGCAGUAGGGAAUUUUCGGCAAUGGAGGAAACUCUGACCGAGCAACGCCGCGUGAAUGACGAAGUACUUCGGUAUGUAAAGUUCUUUUAUCGAGGAAGAAAAGCAAAUGGCGAACCAUUUGUUUGCCGGUACUUGAUGAAUAAGCCCCGGCUAAUUAUGUGCCAGCAGCCGCGGUAAGACAUAAGGGGCAAGUGUUAUCCGGAAUUAUUGGGCGUAAAGGGUGCGUAGGCGGUCUAGUAAGUCAGUGGUGUAAUGUCAACGCUUAACGUUGUCCGGCUAUUGAAACUGCUAAACUUGAGUUAGAUAGAGGCGAGUGGAAUUCCAUGUGUAGCGGUAAAAUGCGUAAAUAUAUGGAGGAACACCAGAGGCGUAGGCGGCUCGCUGGGUCUUAACUGACGCUGAGGCACGAAAGCGUGGGGAGCAAACAGGAUUAGAUACCCUGGUAGUCCACGCCGUAAACGAUGAGUACUAAGUGUCGGGUUAAACCGGUACUGAAGUUAACACAUUAAGUACUCCGCCUGAGUAGUACGUACGCAAGUAUGAAACUUAAAGGAAUUGACGGGACUCCGCACAAGCGGUGGAUCAUGUUGUUUAAUUCGAAGAUACCCGAAAAACCUUACCAGGUCUUGACAUGUUUUUGCAAAAUGAUAGUAAUAUCGUGGAGGUUACCAGAAACACAGGUGGUGCAUGGUUGUCGUCAGCUCGUGUCGUGAGAUGUUAGGUUAAGUCCUAAAACGAGCGAAACCCUUAUCGUUAGUUGCCAGCACGUUAUGGUGGGGACUUUAACGAGACUGCCAAUGAUAAAUUGGAGGAAGGUGAGGAUCACGUCAAAUCAGCAUGCCCCUUAUGACCUGGGCUACAAACGUGAUACAAUGGCUGUUACAAAGGGUAGCUGAAACGCAAGUUCUUGGCCAAUCCCCAAAAACAGUCCCAGUCCGGAUUGAAGUCUGCAACUCGACUUCAUGAAGUUGGAAUCGCUAGUAAUCGCGAAUCAGCAUGUCGCGGUGAAUACGUUCUCGGGGUUUGUACACACCGCCCGUCAAACCACGAAAGUUGGCAAUACCCCAAAACGGUAGCCUAACUCGUUUAUUCGAGAGGGCGCCGUCUAAGGUAGGGUCGAUGAUUGGGGUUAAGUCGUAACAAGGUAUCCCUACCGGAAGGUGGGGAUGGAUCACCUCCUUUCUAAGGAAACCAAUAAAAUCAAUCAUCUUCAGUUUUGAAAGACUUAGGCAACUAAGUUUUUCUUCGUGACUUCACGAAGGGCCUAUAGCUCAGUUGGUUAGAGCACACGCCUGAUAAGCGUGAGGUCGGUGGUUCAAGUCCAUUUAGGCCCACCAGAGUUAUAGGUUUCGUAAGAACACAAAUUCUUUGAAAAUUAGGUAAAUAAUAGU